AAUGAGAAAACCGGUGCAAGCACAAUAGAUGUGUGGGAGGAAAAACCCCCGCAUAAGUCGAAGGUGUGACGCGGACCGAAAAAGAGUAGGGAAGCUGUUAAGCAAGCCGUCAAGAAAAGCUGCUAUUGUUUCAUUAUGGCCCGUACCGUAAACCGACACAGGUGGAUGGGGAGAGAAUCCUAAGGCCGGCGGAAGAAGUAUUGUUAAGGAACUCGGCAAAAUGACCCCGUAACUUCGGGAGAAGGGGUGCCUGCGAGAGCAGGCCGCAGAGAAGAGGCCCAAGCAACUGUUUAGCAAAAACACAGGUCUAUGCAAAACCGAAAGGUGAGGUAUAUGGGCUGACGCCUGCCCGGUGCUGGAAGGUUAAGGGGAGUGGUCAGGAAACGAAGCCACGAACUUAAGCCCCAGUAAACGGCGGCCGUAACGAUAACGGUCCUAAGGUAGCGAAAUUCCUUGUCGGGUAAGUUCCGACCCGCACGAAAGGCGUAAUGAUUUGGGCGCUGUCUCGACAAUACAUCCGGUGAAAUUGAAGUGCCAGUGAAGAUGCUGGCUACCUGCGCCAGGACGGAAAGACCCCAUGGAGCUUUACUCCAGCUUGAUACUGGGACCCGGUAUUGCAUGUACAGGAUAGGUGGGAGGCUAGGAAAUGUGGACGCCAGUCUGCAUGGAGCCGCUGUUGGGAUACCACCCUUGUGGUGCUGGGUUUCUAACCAGAGGCCGUGAACCGGUCUGGGGACAAUGUCAGGUGGGGAGUUUGACUGGGGCGGUCGCCUCCGAAAGGGUAUCGGAGGCGCCCAAAGGUUCCCUCAGAAUGGUUGGAAACCAUUCGAAGAGUGCAAAGGCAGAAGGGAGCUUGACUGCGACACCGACGGGUGGAGCAGGUACGAAAGUAGGGCUUAGUGAUCCGGUGGAAUUUAAGUGGGAAUGCCAUCGCUCAACGGAUAAAAGCUACCCUGGGAUAACAGGCUGAUCACUCCCAAGAGUUCACAUCGACGGAGUGGUUUGGCACCUCGAUGUCGGCUCAUCGCAUCCUGGGGCUGAAGUCGGUCCCAAGGGUUGGGCUGUUCGCCCAUUAAAGCGGUACGCGAGCUGGGUUCAGAACGUCGUGAGACAGUUCGGUCCCUAUCCGGCGUGGGCGUAGGAUAUCUGAGAGGAGCUGUCCUUAGUACGAGAGGACCGGGAUGGACUGACCUCUGGUGUACCGGUUGGCGAUCAACGCCACGGCCGGGUAGCCAUGUCGGGACGGGAUAAACGCUGAAGGCAUCUAAGCGUGAAGCCCCCCUCAAGAUGAGAUAUCCCAUUCGAAAGAAGUAAGACCCCUUGAAGACGACGAGGUUGAUAGGGCAGGGGUGGAAGUGCUGUAAGGCAUGGAGCUGACUGCUACUAAUCGGUCGAGGGCUUGACC
RNAcentral lists this ribosomal RNA (1405 nucleotides) under metagenome. Its description in RNAcentral is "bacterial LSU rRNA". It matches the Rfam family "Bacterial large subunit ribosomal RNA", at positions 1497 to 2925 of the family's 2925-position model. The record is from RNAcentral.